UAUAGUUGAGCCGCUCAGUCUGUAAGAAAUGGAGACAGCAGUCAAGUGUAGAAAAGUGCAGCAGAACAUACAACUUUUAUUCAGACAGUCAGUAACUAGAUACCUAAAUAGUAGGUGACCUUAGCUUAGUAUAGAAGGCAUCAUACCAUGGCUUGGUUUGUUCUUAAUAACGUCAAUUAACGGUUGAUAUUUGCACACCCACGAAGUAGGCUAGGCUAACGUCAGUUCCAGUUUUUGACCAUUAACGUUACAUUCACUUGCAGAUCCUCCCUCCAAGUUUGUUGGGCUCCCCCCAUGUCCAUACCAUGGUUACGCCCUUGCCAAGAUGAACACUUUACAGUUGGUUAUGUGACUGUAAGUCACUCUCUUCAAAUGCUAUUGAUGUUAGAAACGUGUAUAACAAUGUCGUAUGUAACUUUAGAGACGGUCCCUUAAUUUCUGCAUAUUCGCGAAUAUCGAACAUCCAGCUUCACACCAACUUUAUUCCAGUGACUCAGCAUAAUGCUGAGAUGUGUUAGCUUGGCAACGAGAGAUAUGGAACUAACGUCUGAGUUCUGGCCAUAUUGUAGUUCUCCAUUCAGAACUAGUUAUGGCAGUUUGUCUUUAGAAUCAAUAAAAGAAAUCUCCAGUACAAUUUACAUAGCUAACUGUAGCCCAGGCUUAUAAAUGAGAAACACUAUUUAGCUGUCUAACCAAGUCACUUUGAUUUUCUUGUUAUCUUUGAUGGAUUUGUAAGUGAGCAAAUGGGUGAACUCUAUGAGGCAGUGAGCUGACCAAUCAGCCGCCAGCUAGGCUCUGUUACCGUUACACCUCUAGGUUAGUGUCUCUGCAUGUUCUUUUGGCGCUUGCACCUGAGCAUAGGAGGCUGCGUUACCCACUGGAGAGUAAGAGAGAGCUGUGCCUGAAUCCACUGUUGUCACGGAGGUAAAGGCAGUGAAUUCUGCUAAAAUGGUCAGGUUUUGGUAAAGAGUUGGAAACAUCGUGCGGAGAUUCUUUCCACGGAAUGAUACAGAUCCUCACGUUCCAGGUGUUCUCCCAGAGAUUCAUAGAUUCCCAGUCCGGGGGGCUGGGUGGCGAGCCAACCGUGUUUGUGACUCUGACUUUAGACGGAUUGCCAGGAUCAUCAUCAUCUUCUUCAUGGUGGUAGGACAAACACUAACACGAACUAAAAAGGGCCCAACGUUGGUGACUGAACUCUUGUCAACAAAAGCAAGUGAAACUGAGGACGAACUAAGCUCAAGGGAAUUUAAAAGGGGAUUUAUUUACGUGCACACUUUAUUAUUUUAGUUUGUUAUUUUUUUCAUAACUGUUUUUUGUAUAUGUAUGUACCAGCCCAUGUGUGUUUAAUACAUCUUAUGCAAAUUGUCA
This is a long non-coding RNA of Ictalurus furcatus (blue catfish), 1368 nucleotides long. RefSeq lists it as uncharacterized. The record is from RefSeq and is a predicted model, not a curated record. NCBI's taxonomy places the organism in Eukaryota, Metazoa, Chordata, Actinopteri, Siluriformes, Ictaluridae. The transcript has 3 exons.